GACUAAAAGAAGAGAGUGAGGGCAGCUCUUUGUCAUGUACCCCAGUGGGUACCCGCAACAGGGCCAGCAUCAGGUUUCUCUCUCCUUUGCUCGCACCAAGUCACCUCGUAGCAUGACACUUUCAAACCGGCUAACCUGGGGCAUGAAGCAUGGCCAGUCCUCCACCCACCUCCCAAACAGAGUGGGUAGGCGGAAGGAGAAGAGGGGUGUUUCCUCCCAGUGCUGCAAGAAAGGAGCAGCCGGGGAUGACACCAGCUCCAGCAGGAGAUGAUGUAAUAAGGACUCACAUAUGCACAUGGAGUGAAUAAACGAAUUGAGGAAUGGAUGGGUGAAAACAACAAACUGUGAAUGGUCCAGCCAUCACCAAUAAGACAUGUAACAAUUUUUCCCAUCUUGCUUCACGCUGCCAGCAACUCGGGCUGGCCUUGUUGUAGUGAGUUGCCUCUGUUCCACACAAGCCAGGAUUUAACAACAGAAUAAAGGAGUGAACUUGCAAUA
Sapajus apella (tufted capuchin) is the source of this 498-nucleotide long non-coding RNA. RefSeq lists it as uncharacterized. The record is from RefSeq and is a predicted model, not a curated record. The transcript is spliced from 2 exons. Lineage: Eukaryota; Metazoa; Chordata; Mammalia; Primates; Cebidae.